Molecule: ribosomal RNA, 497 nt
Filed under: uncultured bacterium
Lineage: Bacteria
Description: partial 16S ribosomal RNA
Rfam family: Bacterial small subunit ribosomal RNA
Source: RNAcentral
GAUGAACGCUGGCGGCGUGCCUAAUACAUGCAAGUCGAGCGAACAGACGAGGAGCUUGCUCCUCUGACGUUAGCGGCGGACGGGUGAGUACCACGUGGCUAACCUACCUAUAAGACUGGGAUAACUUCGGGAAACCUGAGCUAAUACCGGAUAAUAUAUUGAACCGCAUGGUUCAUUAGUGAACGACGGUUUUGCUGUCACUUAUAGAUGGAUCCGCGCCGCAUUAGCUAGUUGGUAAGGUAACGGCUUACCAAGGCAACGAUGCGUAGCCGACCUGAGAGGAUGAUCGGCCACACUGGAACUGAGACACGGUCCAGACUCCUACGGGAGGCAGCAGUAGGGAAUCUUCCGCAAUGGGCGAAAGCCUGACGGAGCAACGCCGCGUGAGUGAUGAAGGUCUUCGGAUCGUAAAACUCUGUUAUUAGGGAAGAACAAAUGUGUAAGUAACUAUGCACGUCUUGACGGUACCUAAUCAGAAAGCCACGGCUAACUACGUG